This 491-nucleotide ribosomal RNA is filed under the name uncultured bacterium. RNAcentral describes it as "partial 16S ribosomal RNA". It matches the Rfam family "Bacterial small subunit ribosomal RNA", at positions 28 to 507 of the family's 1533-position model. The record is from RNAcentral.
GAUGAACGCUGGCUACAGACUUAACACAUGCAAGUCGAGGGGAAACGCCGGGGAAGCUUGCUUCCCCGGGCGUCGACCGGCGCACGGGUGAGUAACGCGUAUCCAACCUGCCUCUGACUGAGGGCUAACCCGUCGAAAGUCUGCCUAAUACCUCAUGGCAUCGUCUCCGGGCAUCCAACGACGAUUAAAUAUUUCAUCGGUCAGGGGUGGGGUUGCGUCUGCUUGGCUAGUUGGCGGGGUAACGGCCCACCAAGGCGACGAUCAGUAGGGGUGCUGAGAGGAAGGCACCCUACAACGGAACUGCGACACAGUCGAAAACCCGACGGGAGGGAACAGUGAGGAAUAUUGGGCAAUGGGGGAGAGCCUGAAACAGCCAAGUAGCGUGCAGGAGGACGGCCAUAUGGGUUGUAAACUGCUUUUAUGCGGGGAUAAAGUGAGGGACGGGUCCUUCAUUGCAGGUACCGAAUGAAUAAGGACCGGCUAAUUCCGUG